This 484-nucleotide ribosomal RNA is filed under the name uncultured bacterium. RNAcentral describes it as "partial 16S ribosomal RNA". It matches the Rfam family "Bacterial small subunit ribosomal RNA", at positions 28 to 507 of the family's 1533-position model. The record is from RNAcentral.
AUUGAACGCUGGCGGCAUGCUUUACACAUGCAAGUCGAACGGCAGCGCGGGCUUCGGCCUGGCGGCGAGUGGCGAACGGGGGAGUAAUGCAUCGGAACGUGCCCAGCAGUGGGGGAUAGCCCGGCGAAAGCCGGAGUAAUACCGCAUACGACCUGAGGGUGAAAGCGGGGGACCGAAAGGCCUCGCGCUAUUGGAGCGGCCGAUGCCGGAUUAGCUAGUUGGUGGGGUAAAGGGUUACCAAGGCGACGAUCCGUAGCUGGUCUGAGAGGGCGACCGGCCACACUGGGACUGAGACACGGCCCAGACUCCUACGGGAGGCAGCAGUGGGGAAUUUUGGACAAUGGGGGCAACCCUGAUCCAGCCAUGCCGCGUGCGGGAAGAAGGCCUUCGGGUUGUAAACCGCUUUUGUUCGGGAAGAAAUGCUCUGGGCUAAUACCCCGGGGGGAUGACGGUACCGGAAGAAUAAGCACCGGCUAACUACGUG